AGGAAUGGGGAAAUGCAUGCCCUCAUCAUUUUCGUGGGAGUUACAAACUGGAAUAUGAUAUGUCUUGGACGAAAUCAGAAGAUAUUGAGAAAAGAGGACAGGACUUAGCAGAAAUCUCACGUUUAUUAAACAGCAAGAUACCUUCAAUUGAAUAUAUUUGUGACUCUGUGAAGAAAUCAGAUGAAACAGAUAACAACGACGCAUCCUAACUGUUUAUAUACUGUAAUUUCUAAGUGAUAUAUAAAGCAUGAGAGACUAAAAUACGAAUGCAAGUAAUCAAGUUUACCAACUAUUUUGCUAAUAAUCCCCGAACCAACGGCGCGGAGCGCCGUUCCGGCGUAAGCCCGGGGUGAGGGUACUAAUUCCGCCCGGCUAUUUACACCCGGGAGGUAGCUACUUAAUUGAGGUUCGACUAGUUAAUUUUGUGAACAUUUAACCCAUAAGCGCCAGCGCUCUAGCUCCCCUUAAAAAGUAAAACCGUCUGGUGUUACACAUUGAAUCAAUAAAGUAGGGCGCAAUUAAAUAGACCAGUAGGCUUGGUAUAAUGUUGUCGUAUAUUAAUGUAAAAUAGUAUUAGUAUAUAACACAACAGGGAGUGGCACAUUUGCGUGAUAACACUCAUUAGGGCCAUUCAUACGGGACAAAAUAAGUCGCGACUUACAUAAGACGCGUCUUAUAUAAGCAGAGUUAUCGCAUAAAUGGUUCUCUACGGCUUUAUUCUUAUUUACUUGCUAUAGCUAUGAUGUUGUUUCGGUUGUUUUUGUUUUAAUAUGCAAGGCUAAUAAUUUUACGUUGUUUCAAGUUUCGGACAUGUGUAGUUAAGACGCGACUAAAAUAAGAACAGCUAAAAGUCCUGUUCUUAUAUAAGACGCGUCUUAUCCAAGACGCGUCUUACAAAAGAAUUUUGUACCGUUUAUACGACAAACUCGCGUCUUAUUUAAGUCGCGUCUUAUGUAAGUCGCGUCUUAUUUUGUCCCGUAUAAAUGGCCCUAUUGUCACAGAUGGAUUUUUUAAUAAUUAUGUCAUGUGCGCCUGUUCAGCCUGGGAGCCUCACUUUCAUGAAUCAAGACAAAAUGUGAUUGUAUCACUAUUCAUGGGAAUUUGUUGUUUGUAGGGUUGUUUUCCAUUUACAUGGAAAUUCCGGUGAUUCCAUACGGAAAGUAAAUGAAACGAGCAUAUUUCGACGGCCCAACCGGAACUUUUCCGGAACGAACGGUUUGUUUGAAAAGGUUGUCCUCUAAUUGGAACGUUUCAACCGGUGAUUUUUUUUCACCAGUUCCAGGCUCUUCGCGAUUUAAUUCAAACCGGAUGGGUUUUCCAUGUAAAUGGUAAACAAGGUUGUUUACCAUUUACAUGGAAAACCCAUCCGAUUAGAAAUUGUGCUAAUGGUAAGCAAAAUUUUGUGUAGAAAAUCUCAUUCGGUUUAUUCCAUGUAAAUGGUAAACAACCUAGAUGAGGUAUUUAUUUCUGUAACAAGACGCCUUCUCAGGCGUUCACACUGGCCUGAAAAUGGCAGUUUUCGUGGUGGGGUGUAAGGUGUAUUAGAGAAGUACUAUGAGAUAGGGAUACAGGUGAUCUGGACCAUAUAAAUACAACCAAUAAAUAGAAUCCUGAUAGCAACUAUCAACCAUAAUAUACCAAGACGCCGGCUCAGGCGUACCCCCGGCUACGGACAACUCAACCUGACAAGCCAGGCCCACUGUAACUAUGAUCAUCAACUAUCAACCGUAAAUAAUGAAGGGCCAAUAAUAGCGAAGAAAUUAUAUAAUCCUUGAUAUAGUCCUUGAUAUAAUGAUAUGGCUCGUUUGUGGUGCUAAAAGUUCAUAGACAGACGAUUCUUCUAAAAAAUACGGCAAUUUGCUUCCAUUUAUAAGAUAAACUGAUCCCAAGCCCUUAUCUAACCCCAACCAGUAAACAUCUAAUAAACAAUUUGAGAAUUAAAAAAGUGGGGAGUUGGAUCUUGUUCCAAAAACAAAUCGAAGCGUACCAGGUUCCACUUCGCCGCACGCAACGCCACCUCGCUGAAUACAAUCGAACAAAUACAUUUUUAUAGUAAUAUAUGAUGAAAUGGAAAGUAAUUUGGUGCAAAUUAAUGUAAUUAGGUGCAAAUCUAUAAUUAUGCAAAUAAACACAAGUGCACAACGCAUGUUUAUGAGUCUACAACGUAAAUUUACACUUGUUAAUUAAAAAGUCAAACCGUCAAACCUUUA
This 2210-nucleotide long non-coding RNA is filed under the name Paramuricea clavata. Lineage: Eukaryota; Metazoa; Cnidaria; Anthozoa; Malacalcyonacea; Plexauridae. The record is from RNAcentral.